GAGAAAUCUCCACUCCGGAAGCAUCUUCCACAGCCCGGUUCUAGCCACCCUGCCCUCUGCUUCUGGAGAGGGCAUCAGCGCCCCGGCCAAGACGGAGUACAAGGCCUGGUCCACUGAGCUUCCUGGGCUCUGGUCGGUGGGAAGGAACACGCCCUGCGCAGCACCUCCCUCGGGCUCUCCACGCAGAGUGAGGGAAAGCCCGGCAACCACACAGAUGUGCAACAGCGGGGCCUGGCCGAGCCCUCUUCACCCAGCCAAACGAUGGGCCCCGCCGCUGUUAGACAGCAAAAGGAAAUUUGUGAUGACAGAAAAACAUGCCCAUGAUGUAUUGGUCUGGAGGGCUUCCCUGGUGGCGCAGUGGUUGAGAGUCCGCCUGCCG
Aethalodelphis obliquidens (Pacific white-sided dolphin) is the source of this 379-nucleotide long non-coding RNA. RefSeq lists it as uncharacterized. Lineage: Eukaryota; Metazoa; Chordata; Mammalia; Artiodactyla; Delphinidae. The transcript is spliced from 3 exons. The record is from RefSeq and is a predicted model, not a curated record.